AAAUACUACUAGGGGAGCUAUUUAGGCUGAGAUGAUGUAAUCAGACCCUUAUGACCUGAUUUGGUUAAUACCAACGUAGGAAAGUAGUUGAUGGUAGAU
This 99-nucleotide non-coding RNA is filed under the name Staphylococcus simiae. RNAcentral's name for it is "TPP sequence". It matches the Rfam family "TPP riboswitch aptamer (THI element)". Rfam says of the family: Vitamin B(1) in its active form thiamin pyrophosphate (TPP) is an essential coenzyme that is synthesised by coupling of pyrimidine and thiazole moieties in bacteria. The previously detected thiamin-regulatory element, thi box was extended, resulting in a new, highly conserved RNA secondary structure, the THI element, which is widely distributed in eubacteria and also occurs in some archaea. Lineage: Bacteria; Bacillati; Bacillota; Bacilli; Caryophanales; Staphylococcaceae. The record is from RNAcentral.